GGCUCAGCUCCAACCGUCUCGAGCCGCGCGGCGCCCCCAAAUCACGCUUCCUUGUUGACCUCAGAAAGACAGAAACCCCCCUCCACAUCGCCGCUUGCUUCGCUCACCGCGAGACGCGCCGCCGCUGGAGACGAUCCCGUUCGCGGCGAUCUGCCCGAACUGCCGCCGCUCGUUUAUUGGUUUCGGACUUCUCCAACCUAUAUAUGGCGUCCCGAUUCCACAUCGUCUCUCCUUCCAUGACGCUGGAGAUUAACCUUGAAUUUUCCCACUACCUCCGUUUGAAUUGGCCACCUGCAGAUGAGCCUGCAACCACAAAUUUUGACGGUUGAUAAUCCCCAAUUUUGUUGAUCUGUUGGGCAAAUGAGUUUGUGAUCCACAGCGGCGGCCAAGAGGUACCUGCCAAUUGUUUUGGCUGCUCCUCGUCCAGGCCCGCGGAGACAAGGAUUCUGAGGAAAAGGUACCUCAGUUUAGGUCAGAGCUCCUCCUCUGCAUGCUUUACAAGCCACUGAGCAUGAUCAAGAAGCUUUCUGCUUGAUAAUGCCCACAGGCCUUGAUAUGUAUAGCUGAUGAAAAUAUGUGUCAAAAAUAUAUAUAGCCGAUUCUGGCUUGGUAUUUAUUUUCUUGUACUUGUUUUUGUUUACUCGAUGCACAAAUGCAUCAGUGUGUUAUGUGCUAUAAAGCUCGAUGCACAAAUCUGGUAAACCAUUUACAAAUUAAA
Molecule: long non-coding RNA, 718 nt
Organism: Panicum hallii
Lineage: Eukaryota; Viridiplantae; Streptophyta; Magnoliopsida; Poales; Poaceae
Exons: 4
Source: RefSeq, a predicted model, not a curated record